UGGGGAGCAAACAGGAUUAGAUACCCUGGUAGUCCACGCCGUAAACGAUGUCGACUUGGAGGUUGUGCCCUUGAGGCGUGGCUUCCGGAGCUAACGCGUUAAGUCGACCGCCUGGGGAGUACGGCCGCAAGGUUAAAACUCAAAUGAAUUGACGGGGGCCCGCACAAGCGGUGGAGCAUGUGGUUUAAUUCGAUGCAACGCGAAGAACCUUACCUGGUCUUGACAUCCACGGAACUUUCCAGAGAUGAGAAGGUGCCUUCGGGAACCGUGAGACAGGUGCUGCAUGGCUGUCGUCAGCUCGUGUUGUGAAAUGUUGGGUUAAGUCCCGCAACGAGCGCAACCCUUAUCCUUUGUUGCCAGCGGUCCGGCCGGGAACUCAAAGGAGACUGCCAGUGAUAAACUGGAGGAAGGUGGGGAUGACGUCAAGUCAUCAUGGCCCUUACGACCAGGGCUACACACGUGCUACAAUGGCGCAUACAAAGAGAAGCGACCUCGCGAGAGCAAGCGGACCUCAUAAAGUGCGUCGUAGUCCGGAUUGGAGUCUGCAACUCGACUCCAUGAAGUCGGAAUCGCUAGUAAUCGUGGAUCAGAAUGCCACGGUGAAUACGUUCCCGGGCCUUGUACACACCGCCCGUCACACCAUGGGAGUGGGUUGCAAAAGAAGUAGGUAGCUUAACCUUCGGGA
This 685-nucleotide ribosomal RNA is filed under the name Escherichia sp. RNAcentral describes it as "bacterial SSU rRNA". It matches the Rfam family "Bacterial small subunit ribosomal RNA", at positions 762 to 1447 of the family's 1533-position model. The record is from RNAcentral. Lineage: Bacteria; Pseudomonadati; Pseudomonadota; Gammaproteobacteria; Enterobacterales; Enterobacteriaceae.